This is a long non-coding RNA of Scatophagus argus, 386 nucleotides long. RefSeq lists it as uncharacterized. The record is from RefSeq and is a predicted model, not a curated record. Lineage: Eukaryota; Metazoa; Chordata; Actinopteri; Scatophagidae. The transcript is spliced from 4 exons.
UUGCACCCUUACGAAGAGGUGUCGUUGGCGUCCUCUGAUUAAAAUAGCAAGAUUCAAUUAGAAGCGCGCACUGUGAUACCUCAACGGAAACUGUGAAUGGACGGUUCUCUCCAGUUUGUCCUAUUGGUGAAAAGACAACGUGAAGGACAUCAAGGAGCUCAUUCAUCAAACAAAUCUAUAUUUGUCAGAAUUGACAGAGCAGCUGUCCCCGGCAAAGUCAAAACAAGGACACAACAACAAACUACUCUGUGAGAGCAGGAAGGGACAGACGUCCGGCACAGGAGGGGUCGAAGGCCGGAGCUUUGCCAGCGCCAUGAUGUGUUCAAAGGUGAUGUCAGUCUGAGUGCACACGUCCACCACAUGGAUCUCCUGAGGGGGGCCAUGGG